CAAAAUGCCAAGAAGGAGAAAGGUAUUUUUUAGUAGGUGGUUACAGAGAGUCAGGAUUUGGUGAGAACUGAUGCUAUCGAUAAAAUACGAAUCACUCCUGAGCAGUAUCUUUGAAAAGUUUUAUACUUAGUAGUUGAUACCGAUUAGUCCCGUUAAAGACUUAGGUUUAGUAGAACUGACAGUGAGUGAUGUCUUUAUGACAUAACUAAGGUGGUACCGCGGGUUAUAACUCGUCCUUAUU
RNAcentral lists this non-coding RNA (241 nucleotides) under Gottschalkia acidurici. RNAcentral's name for it is "Clostridium acidurici T-box sequence". It matches the Rfam family "T-box leader". Rfam says of the family: Uncharged tRNA acts as the effector for transcription antitermination of genes in the T-box leader family. T-boxes are found upstream of many aminoacyl-tRNA synthetase genes and some amino acid biosynthetic genes usually in Gram-positive bacteria. Lineage: Bacteria; Bacillati; Bacillota; Tissierellia; Tissierellales; Gottschalkiaceae. The record is from RNAcentral.